GGGGUCCCGCCCUGCGUCCCUGGCCAUAUCCCGGCCAGGGUCCUGGACCCAGAGCCUGGCUCCCUUGGGUUCUGGGUGGGAAUGCGCGGGGAUACAGACGCCCCCCCCCCCGGGUUGGGGCAGGUGCUGGUGGGCAGGGGCGGAGGGUCGGGAGGUGAUGGUGGCCAGCUGUCCGCAGGGACUGCGGAGGUGGCAGGUGGGCGCUCUUCACCUCUGCGGGGAGGGAGAUGGUUGGGGAGGAGCCAGGAAAAGUGCUGUGUGCAGAUUUGUCACAUGUCUGCUCUGGGCUCAGGUCCUUGUAGAAGCCUCUUAAAUGUGGAAAAUUCUGUGUGUGUGUGAAUCCGAGAGGAGAGAAGCGGAAUAUAACAGCCGCGUAUAUGGGCUCACCGGUGUCGUGUGCCUUGCAGCCGCUGGGUCGUCGGAUCCUCAGAGAACCUUACAGUCCUGCCAGGGCCGAGAGGCCCGGUCCGGUCGCCACAGGCUGCAGGUGGCAGCGUGGGUUGAGAUGUGCUGCAGUGUAAAACACGCCAGCCUUCAUGGGCUCCGUGAGUUAAGAUAGUAUAGAACACCCCGUUGCUAAUUUUAAAAUAUUGAUUACAAAUCAAAAUGAUAAUGUUCUGGAUGGACCUUGUGAAAUAAAAAAUUUUUUGCAAAUAAUUUCAUUUAAGUUUAAAAAAAAAACUAGAAAAUUUUAAAACUACAGACGUGGCUCAUACGGAUAGUGGACGUUGUAUUUCUGUUGACCAGCGUAGUGGUAGAGAAGGCAGGAUUACUAACCCCUUUUCAAAGGGCAGAGAGCAGGCAGAAAGGCCCGACCAGCCCAGAGCCCAUAAGGAAGCGAACGAAGACAAAGCCUUGCGGAGUUCAAAGGUUUGGGCGGGAUGAGGUCAGGACCAACUUCAAGAGGAUGGGGAGCCCCGGGCGAGUAAGCAGGGCCUUGCCUUCUCUCUGGAGCCAGCUUCUCCAGAUAUAAAAUGAUGCUAAUUAUAUGUGCCCUGGGAGCCGGCUUUGCGAGCAGGAAAUGAGAAGCUGCCUAUGAAAGCACGCUGAGUUUAUGGAGCAGAAAUGCCUCCAUAAAGCCCAGGACGCUGUCGUUAUAACCAUGGGUCCCCUUGCCGUACUAACGCUUGGUCUGCAUAGGAGACAGAAGCCCACACCAGUCCUGCUCGCCUCGUCCCUUGAGUGGCCUUCAUCGCCCUUCUGUAAGAAGCCGUGCCUCCAGGGUCCUUCCAGCAUACAGGCAGGCGCCUGGUGCCACCCUGAGCUUGGGGGUGGGUGUCCCAGACUCUCCUCCGUCCCCUCCCCUCCCCGAGCUGCUGGCCCCUGCUGGACAGCUGUCCCAUAGAUGCUGUUCCUGGGGUCCAGGGUGUGGUCUCCACCUCCUCCCCCCACCUGGGCUCUUCACAAGCAGCCCAAGCCUUCCAUACCCGGAAGUGGCCCUGCUCUGGCGACCUCACCCAUCAUCGUUCCAGAGGUUUCCUGGGAACAGUUGCCUGUUGGCUGUUGCUGUUUGAGGGUGGAUAUUUAAAGCCAGUCAUAGCAGAGAAUGAGACCUGGAAGGGAUGACACGGGGACCUGAGUCCCUAACAGGGCCCAGAGAUUUGCAAACAUUCGUUUCCUCUGCAGACAGAACAAGGGAAAUCCAAGAGCUAUACUGGUGAUAGAAGUCCCACUUUCAUGGGUCAGACUCACAUCCUCUUUGUUGGUGCCCUAAAUACCCCAGUGUGAUGGGUUAACUACUGGUCCAUUUGGAGCGCCCAGCUGAACUGGGUCAGCGUGGUUCUGGGCGUGGAAGACUCACCUGAGGAUUGUUACCAAUGGCAUUAAAGGAGAACUGGAGGGGAAGAUUGUUUGCUGCUGCUUUUCUUGGAGAAGCUUGCCCUGGCUGGUUUUCCUGAUGCGAACUUGGAGGAGGAGCUCGGGUCCUCACUGUCACAGGGACAGCUGCUGUUUUGUCAGGGGAGCACUGACUUGGGCAUCGCUUCCUGGCUCCAGUGUGGAUCUCUCAGCCUGGUGCACAGAGCCUUCAGCCCCCUGGCACAGAAUUUCUAGCUUCUACCACCGGCCUUUGGGCCUUCCCAGUGCAGAUCCUCAGUACGUACAAGCAUUAGACACUGCUGUGGGCUCCAGACCUCUGGCUGGACUCAGGGAGGACAUUGCUUGGGCUCUCAGCCUUCAGCUGGACUUUUGAGGGCCAUUGCCCUGGGACCCAGGCCCUCGGCUGGAUUCUUCAGGUCUCUAGCAUGUGGACAGAUCUCUUGCACUCCUCUGCAUUUGACUCUUUGGGUGAAUAUUAUAAAAUAAUUCUGUAAAUUAUGUGUCCUGUAUUACAUCUAUUCCCUUGCAAACCCAAACUACUACACCCAGAUUCUCUUCCCCAUGAAACCCAUCCGAUGAAGCCUGGCCUGCUCCUUCUUAAUAAAGCAUCUGUGAAAAUGA
This is a non-coding RNA of Heterocephalus glaber (naked mole-rat), 2439 nucleotides long. Lineage: Eukaryota; Metazoa; Chordata; Mammalia; Rodentia; Bathyergidae. The record is from RefSeq and is a predicted model, not a curated record.